AUCUUAUGAGAUGCCUGAAGAAUCAACUAGAAACCGAGGAGAAGCUGGAUGAGAUGGGAGCCAAGUGGUCUGGCCCCAGCAUGGCUGUUUCUCAGGGACAUCUCCAUUCAUUCCCAACAAGGUGGUCCAUGCUGAGCUGUGCACAGCUAGGCUGGGAUUGCUCCUCUGCUGCAGUGAUCCUGGGUGUUUCUGUGGCUGGGGACACCUUCUGCAUGUGAUCCUCCAGCCUUGUUCGUCAUGCAAGCAGAAAAGCAGAGAAGAGACACUGCGGUCCAGGCUGAUUUUCCUUUUGGAGGACAAUUCCUUCUGUGYGAAGAGCAGGUGCUUUCUCCCUCAUCUCAGCGUUCUCCCUGUGACUCUUUCCUGACAAAAGUCCUGGUGGAACAGAGGCUUGUUGGCCCAAGGCAGUCAUUUAGAGGAGAAGGCAGGAGAGGUGCAGCAUGGGGAGGACUCCCAUCUUCUGCUAYGUGAACGCACCUGAGUGAUGUUUUCUUGCUUUUUACCUCCUGCGACUGCUUGGAGAGGCAGGUUGCCUUCACUCGGGCGGUUUUGUGCCUCUUGCACCUAAAAGCCUCAGAGCAGGAGCUGAUCUGCCCGCAUCUGCCAUGCCCUGUGGACCAGGAGAAC
This is a long non-coding RNA of Nothoprocta perdicaria, 627 nucleotides long. RefSeq lists it as uncharacterized. Lineage: Eukaryota; Metazoa; Chordata; Aves; Tinamiformes; Tinamidae. The transcript has 3 exons. The record is from RefSeq and is a predicted model, not a curated record.